GACGAACGCUGGCGGCGUGCCUAAUACAUGCAAGUUGAGCGAUGACGGUUGGUGCUGUCACGAAUUUGAAGGGCAGCGAACGGGAGAGUAACGCGUGGGCAAUCUGCCUUUGAGCGGGGGACAACAAUUGGAAACGAAUGCUAAUACCGCAUAACAACUUUAAACAUGAGUUGUAAGUUUGAAAGAUGCAAUUGCAUCACUCAAAGGUGAUCCCGCGUUGUAUUAGAUAGGUGGUGAGGUAAAAGCACAACAAGGCGAUGGUACAUAGCCGGCAUGAGAGGGUGAUCGGCCCACUUGGGAAUGAGACACGGCCCAAAACUCUUCGGGAGGGAGCCGUAGGGGAAUUUCGGACAAGGAGGGAAGGCUUACCGAACAAAGCCGGGGGAGUGAAGGAUGUUUUCGGAUCGUAAAACUCGUUUGGUAGAGAAGAACGUUGGUGUGAGUGAAACGCGCAUCAAGUGACGGUACCGACACAGUAAGCGCCGGCUAACUACGUG
RNAcentral lists this ribosomal RNA (497 nucleotides) under uncultured bacterium. Its description in RNAcentral is "partial 16S ribosomal RNA". It matches the Rfam family "Bacterial small subunit ribosomal RNA", at positions 28 to 507 of the family's 1533-position model. The record is from RNAcentral.